Molecule: small RNA, 821 nt
Filed under: Drosophila pseudoobscura pseudoobscura
Lineage: Eukaryota; Metazoa; Arthropoda; Insecta; Diptera; Drosophilidae
Description: GA30857
Source: RNAcentral
UUGGGAUACAGUCAGUCCUUGCUCACAGUUGCUCGAGGCAACAGCAUUUCAAAAUUUACAAAUUAUUCAAAUUCCAAAAAAAUAUGCUGGAUUGUUACCCCUUUUGUGCACUGUCUGUGUCUGCUGAAUGAUUCUGUCUGCUGUUCAAAGGCUGCCACCUUUCUCCGAGGCGGUCGUCCAGAAUCUAAACAUCCUUGACCGCUACAUCCUGGAACCAGCUUUCGUGCAUCUGGGUCAACGCAACAUUCUCCAGCCAGCCAAGGAUUAAGCACCCCCUCUCUAAGAGCUGAUACUAGAAGCUGCAAUCCAUGAAGGCCUUGCUCGAUCCGGGAAUCGUAGUGCAGUAAGUGCAAAAUUCUUUACCAGUUGCUCGACCAUAGGCGAUCGUAGGCGGCAAUGACGAACAAAGUUGUAUGAAAUCCACACGGAUCCGAUCUAGUGCCAUGGAAACCCAAAAGGCAUGCGAAACAUUUGUGUAGAUCUCAUAGAACUUGGUCUUCAUUGGCGCCUAUGACUGCUUAUGAACCGGGAACUGGAUGGAGUUUUCAGUGGGUGCACUCGAACAUCCCCCCUCCAGUCCACGGCGUCGUGGGAUAUUCCCACCGUAAGAUCGCUGAUCUGCUCCGACAAGCUCCGUCCCGUUCUCGACGAAGUACAAUUGGCCGUACUGGACUCAGCGGUGGAUGGUUAAAGGCUUCGCACAUGCGUCGGGAUGUCGUCCUUGGGGCAGUACACUCCCAGCGGUAACAUCCGCUUGAAGUUCGAGCUCCCAAUUUUCAAAGAUCGUUGAAUAAAUGCAUCGAAAGAUGCUCCACAGCUUA